AUUUCUGAGCUCUGAGUCGGAAAUUCAUCUGGAACGCCCCACUGAAGUCAGAUUUCCGACUCGGAAAGUUUUACGAUCCUCACCAACCUCGACUUGACGACAACGUCAUAAUCCAAGAUGGCAGCGCAGUGCGUCAACAGCAAAGAGUAACAGUAAAAGCUCUCGUAAUGUUUUAUUUAUUGGCACUUCUGAUUUGUUUUUGUAAAAUUAAAUAAGUGGUUUAUGUUGUUCUGCCCAACGUCUAACUGUGAACACGGUGCUAUGGUGUUUGUACGAGUAGAAUACUGUGAUAUGCGUUGUUUACCACUAGUAUAGCUAACAACAACAACUAACAACGGCUAACAACAGCUAACAACAGCUGACAACAGUUAACAACAGCUUACAACAGCUAAAAACAUCUAACAACAGCCAGCAACAGCUGACAAUGGCUUACAACAGCUAACAACAGCUAACAACAUCUAACAACGGCUAAAAACAUCUAACUACAGCUAACAACAGCUGACAAUGGCUAACAACAGCUGACAAUGGCUAACAACAGCUAACAACAGCUGACAACGCUAACAACAGCUAACAGUAGGCGUCCAUCUUGGUUUUCUGACUUGUUUACUGGAACGCCGCCUACUCGCCGCCUAUUAUUCCCAGCUCCAAUAUCCGACAGAGAUUUCUCUGCAUCUUUCGAUGACUUUAUGGACUGUAGAUGAUCAAAUCUGUAAAUUCCUGCAGUUGUACAUUGAGAAAUGUUGGACCUUUUACUCAUGCAGUUGCUCACAAAGUUGUGAACCUGGCCCCAGCUUUUCGGGGAUGCAACUUUUAUACAUAAUCAUUAUUCUCACUUGUUUCCAGUUAACCUGCUCACCUGUGGAAUGAUCCAAACAGGUGGUUUUAAAACAGUCCUCAAUUUUCCCUGACUUUUUUUUACACUUAACCAACUUCUUAAGAAUGUUAUGAGUGAGUAGUUGCAGAAAAAAAAUGAUAAAAUCUAUCACUUUGAACAUUAAUAUCUCGUCUUUGUGGUAAAUUUAAUAAAAUAUAGGUCAGAGAGGGUUUUCUAAUCAUUGUUUUCUGUGUUUAUUCAUGUUUUACUCAACUUCACUGGCGUUAAGGUUCGUAUCUAUGUCACUCAUUUCAUUAAAAAUAAGUCAUCUUUAGUCCUGAAGUAAUCCAGUCCCUUUGUCACGCGUUAAUCUGGGUUACGAGCUGCCUCAUAAACUUUUAAAAGCAUUGACGAGUGUUGUCAAAAUACAGCUGUUCAUACAAUUGGUCCGGAAAGCAGAGCCCCACCCAGCGCCGCAGUUCUUCAGAUUUCUGACAUGGCUGCUGUAUGAAGAUGAGGGAGUGGCGCUCGGCGUAAACCGGUCACAGCUAUCCGUCAUCUUGUCACACUUGACCAAACAAUACCAGCCGACUUAGUUUCUAAGUAUUAAUAAACAAAUUACCACACCAUUUUCCCCUUCAGAUGGACAGAUUGGCUGCAGUCCCGGCGAGCGACAAUAGACAGUAAUCUCAGGCUCACACACACUCACACAGAGCGAGAUCAGCUCUGCCCAGACAAAACCAAUAACAAGAGGUCAGACCCGGGUCAGGCUGCCUCAUGAAGCGUCUGCCACCUGGAAGUAUUUUCUUUUACAUCAACAUUAGAUUAUAUUUGAUAAUCUACGCCGGAUUGACGCAACAGGAAGAUUUUUCAGACCCCCUGGUGAUGAGCGGGGUCAUGUGCAGGUUAAAAAACACAUUCACUCUCUAAAGAAGACCGAAGUAGGAGGCCCAGAGUGUAUACUGUAUUAUAAACAAUAAAAGGUUGGUCAUUGACAAGAAAAUGAACGACAAACACGAUGCAGUACAUGUUUGACGAAUUCAUCCAUCCUCUUGGGCUUAAAAGGGAUAUUCUGGCGUAAAUUUAAGUUAUGGUCAAACACACCGUAACACAGAGUUAGACACCCCGUCUAGAGAUGAAUGUUGCCGACCGCUUGCUUCUUUAGUAAUACUACUUUAGGUGAGCCCUGACGAGUCGAUCACAGAGUGCAGCGGAGUUUCGCAGCUCAACGAAGAACAUUUAUGAUUAUUACUUAAUAGAAAUGCAAUCAGACUGAGACGCUAACGGGCGAAACCCACAGGGUCUGGAACGGCUCCGCUCCGCUCCCACACAGCCGGCGGAUCAAAUCUGCAAGCAUUAUAAUCAAUGUGAGUCAUUCCACAGAAUCUGUCCGGCGACUGACUCUGCUGCGAAUCAGCUCCGGCGGCCGGAUCAGAUACACAAGGCUUGUAUUUUUGCCGGACGCCGGCGCAUCAAUUCAGUGCAGCACAGCACAAGUAGCAGAGGAAGUUUUAUGCGGUUACAAAGUAAAAUAUCUGGUUAAUUUUCAAAAUAAAAUGAAGUCAAUACGUUGAACUGUUCUUCACUUGAUAAUGGGAGAGGCCAGGGUUGUGGGUUGUGGGAUGUGGGUGUUGAUGAUGAUUAUUCCUUUAAGGAAAUGAUCCGCUACACUCAGUGAUCGACUCGUCAUGGCUGCCCUACAAACAAGCGGCUGCUGGAGGAGAGUGGGUGAGUUGUGUUUAGUCUCUUUGCUAAAGAAAUGAGGCAAAGUUAAAAAGAUGUUUGAUGGCUAGUACUAUGGGACUCUAUAUGUCCUGUUGAUGAAGUUAGGUGCUGUUCUGAGCAUUAUUUGUGGCUAUAGAGUGGCGUUUUGGUUGAGGUUUGUUUAUGGCUGCUCAGACCACUGAGUAUUGCCAUCGUGUGGUCGUUACUAAAGUUGGUAUAACUAGAGAAGUAAGCGGUCGGCAACAUUCAUCUCUACAGGGGAUGUCUAACUCUGUGUUACGGUGUCUUUGACCCUAAAUUUACACCAGAAUGUCCCUUUACAUGGUCUUUUGCUGCGCAGUUUGAAAAGACCCAGGGUCUGGUACUGGUCCAUUUAAAGUGAGAACGGCGGCUGGUUUUUAUUCGCUGUGAAGGAGUGCAUUACACCCAUCCAUCCUGCUCUUGGGUACACCGAGAGCUUUAAUAAUCUUCACCUUCAGAAGAUUUGUGACAGCCGUUUGAUGAGCGCACCGCUGCGAAUACCUGUUCAGAAUCACCAGGAGGGGGAUCGAUGGAAAAAUUCAGAUGGAUUGCUGUAUUUCAAAUACCUAACCUGCAAAAUAUGCUUUUCAUCACCUUCUUGAUUCAGCAGCUUUUCUAGGAAGAGCUCAUGAAAGAGAGUGAACCAUUAAAGUAGGUUUGAAGGACAAAUAUCUGCAAAAUUAUCGCUGGGAGUAAAAGCAGAGGUUAACGAGAGGUGGAUGGUUUAAACAUCAGGACGGAAACUCUUAAUUUUCAUCUUCACAUUUACUCUAAUGAAAGUAGGUGCAGCUUUUUUCAAUAAUGGGUCCAUCAGAACCUCUGAGAAGCUGCAAAUCACAGAUCUUAACCCAAUUCAUUUUGUUACAGUCCUCCUAGUUUGUCUGCGUGAUUGUAUUAAUGUCAGAGGACAUGAUUUACCGUUUUUAAUAUUUUAAAAGCAGCUUCCUGCCAGGGACUUUCUUUUGUUUGCCGUAAGGCGGACAGCUGAGCCUUUUCCUGAGCUUCCAAACUAGGUCAUGCACCAGGUACUUCAGCUUAUUUUCAGAAAGUCAGACCCAAAUAUCAACCUGGGUUUUUGUAUCGCUACAUAUAUAAAUGUAUUAAAGCUUUACUUUGCCAUCAAACUGCCCAUCUGUUUUAACAUCAUUCUCAGACGCAGCACACACACGUGUUUCAGAUGUUUGGAUCAGCUGCUUCAAGAUGAGACGAGUUCAAGUGUUUUUAAUCGGUAGCCAACAAAUGUAAAAGACCUGCCAGAACAAUCACGGUCAGAGGAAAACCUGCUGCAAACGCUCAAAGGAUGCAAAUUCAAGAACACGUGCAUACUCCAAAUAAAGAAAACCUGCAGAGACUUAUUUGUGCAAAGACAAACAACAUGCAAGAGCAGGACACAACUGCAAAAGUAAAAUACAAAACAAGCAGAAGUGUCAUAACUGAGAAAUGUGCACACUAGAUCUAAUCAUCUAUAGAGCUUUUUAUGAUAGAUGUAAAUAACAUUUAUGCAUCUUUAACUGAGGAGAAGUUUCUGACGGAUUGAUGGUUUUGUUGAACUACAGCUGAGGGCAGCGUAGGUCAGCUACUGAUCCGUGUCAGCUGUUAGAAAUGCUAUUAGUUAGCAGGUGUCAGGCUCUAAAUACCAGGGUGUGGAAGUGUUUUCUUCUCGAACAAUCGCAGGGACUUUAGACCGACUGAGCUGUUUGACUUAGCGCCCUUACAGGCCUUGAGAACCUCAGCUAAAACAUUUUGAUUCCCAGCAUAAAUCACUUACAGUUGUUUUAUCCUUUUGUGUGUUUUUGAAUCGCCGCUUUUGGUUUUUAAUUUUGUUGUUUUGGCUUUUUGAAUUGAGGCAUGUUUAUUUCAUUUGUAGGGUGUUUCCAUGACUGCACUUGUUUUUGAUUUUGCGUGUGUUUCGCAUCUGCAUUGUUUGGGGAUUUGCAGCACAUAUCUCUGAAGCUGAUGCCCUCGUCAGCUCCGGCUAUCUCAGGGUCAUGUGGGAAGAUAAGUGCUCCAGUUUCUGCGGUGGAGAGGGAGAGCUCGACAUGAAGCUCAUUUACGUCCCAACACUCACUGACACCUGCAGAAUGAGAUCGUGGAUACAAACAGCUGACGUGAGUGUCCUCUGAAGAGUUGGCUGGGUUCGGCUGUAGAAAUAGAGUAAAUAGAGCAGAGCAGAGCUGCUACUCCUAGUUAAAGUGGUCAAGGAUCUGAGUAGGAUGCCUCUCUCUGGAGGUUUUUGCAUCCAGCUGUAGGGAGGGCCCUGGGGUAGACUAAAUGUAUAUUCUCCCUGGUCUGGGAAUGUCUGUAAGGGGACAGGAAAACAUGGCUGGGGAGGUGGGACCUGACCCCUGAUGAGCAGAAGAAAAAAGAUGAAUACAUGAAUGUUCCUACGGUGUUUUUGUAAGUGUGUGUGAUUAGUUUGCAAGUUUAUUCAAUCUUACAUGGAUAAGGAGAAAGUCUUAAGAGGAGAGUCAAAGUUAAUUUACUUAACUAAGGUAAGAAAUAAGUGUUGCCAGAUCUCAAGAGAGAAACAAGCAACCAGCUCUAAGAAAACAAGCUCAAAACAAGCCCAACAAGCAACCCGCCACAUCCCACAGGAUGGGCGGGGGGCAACCAUAAAUCUACUGACGACAACUUGCUAAUACUCGGCGCACGCCCCGCAGUGCUGGACCCAUGUGCGCCGCAUAUGCUGAAACAUACCGAGUCCCAGGUAACACCUUGUAAAAACACCCUUCAAAAACUCAUUUUGAAAGUGUGGCGGCUUUUAUUUUGUUGUGACAUUAUGCAUUGGCAAUGGCAAAAUUAUAACAAACAAAGUUAACAUAAAAACUUUGAAUAACUUAAGGGUUUGGGUUGAAUUUUAUUUUAUUUUUUUCAUAUUUUCUCCACUCACUGCCACUUAUUCUCACUCUGUCUCCUUGCUCAUUUCUCUGUCACUCUGGCGUACAUGAGCAUGACGUGAUUCAGGAUUCAGGAUUCAGGAAACGGUGGUCUGGAAAGGACAAACUACAUACCUCUCACACUUGAGUUUUGCUUUGCUUUUGUGGGGAGCUGUGAGAUAAUCAGGAGAAAUUCACACAGACAUAAAAAAAAAUAAAGCCCAAAUAAGCAACUCCUGAGAAAAACAAGCCCAAAAAACGCAACUCACC
This 5706-nucleotide long non-coding RNA is filed under the name Xyrichtys novacula (pearly razorfish). The record is from RNAcentral. Lineage: Eukaryota; Metazoa; Chordata; Actinopteri; Labriformes; Labridae.